This 599-nucleotide ribosomal RNA is filed under the name Trichoderma harzianum. Its description in RNAcentral is "eukaryotic LSU rRNA". The stretch from base 210 to 363 matches the Rfam family "5.8S ribosomal RNA". The record is from RNAcentral. Lineage: Eukaryota; Fungi; Ascomycota; Sordariomycetes; Hypocreales; Hypocreaceae.
AUCAUUACCGAGCUUUACAACUCCCAAACCCAAUGUGAACGUUACCAAACUGUUGCCUCGGCGGGAUCUCUGCCCCGGGUGCGUCGCAGCCCCGGACCAAGGCGCCCGCCGGAGGACCAACCAAAACUCUUAUUGUAUACCCCCUCGCGGGUUUUUUUAUAAUCUGAGCCUUCUCGGCGCCUCUCGUAGGCGUUUCGAAAAUGAAUCAAAACUUUCAACAACGGAUCUCUUGGUUCUGGCAUCGAUGAAGAACGCAGCGAAAUGCGAUAAGUAAUGUGAAUUGCAGAAUUCAGUGAAUCAUCGAAUCUUUGAACGCACAUUGCGCCCGCCAGUAUUCUGGCGGGCAUGCCUGUCCGAGCGUCAUUUCAACCCUCGAACCCCUCCGGGGGGUCGGCGUUGGGGAUCGGCCCUCCCUUAGCGGGUGGCCGUCUCCGAAAUACAGUGGCGGUCUCGCCGCAGCCUCUCCUGCGCAGUAGUUUGCACACUCGCAUCGGGAGCGCGGCGCGUCCACAGCCGUUAAACACCCAACUUCUGAAAUGUUGACCUCGGAUCAGGUAGGAAUACCCGCUGAACUUAAGCAUAUCAUUAAGCGGGAGGAA